RNAcentral lists this long non-coding RNA (418 nucleotides) under Solanum lycopersicum (tomato). RNAcentral describes it as "partial TCONS_00179634". Lineage: Eukaryota; Viridiplantae; Streptophyta; Magnoliopsida; Solanales; Solanaceae. The record is from RNAcentral.
UGGCGGAGGGGCCGAUCGUCCGUACCCUUGAUAACACGGACCCCCAGUUUGGCCUCCGUAGCAUUGUCCACAACAAUAUCCGUGUGGCGGUUGUGGGUAUUCUUGAAUUGGCACUGGCGUUGGCAUUGGCAUUACGGGCUCUGGUUUAGGUUUAGGAACUUCUUUGGGCUUUUCGGGCUCUUUGGGCUUAGGCUUCUCAACUUCUUUUGGCUUUUCAGGUGUCUUAGGUUUCUGAGGCUCUUUAAUGAUAACAAUCUUAGGCUUCUCAGGCUCCUUGGGCUUUUCAAUGACGACAACUUUAGGUUUUUCGGGCUCUUUAGGCUUUUCAGGUUUGGGCUUUUCGGGCUCUUUGGGCUUUUCGGGAGGUUUGGGCUUUGGAGGGUCUUUGAUUUCAAUGCUUUUGAUUACUCCACAUCCU